This is a non-coding RNA of Camelina sativa (false flax), 2586 nucleotides long. The record is from RefSeq and is a predicted model, not a curated record. NCBI's taxonomy places the organism in Eukaryota, Viridiplantae, Streptophyta, Magnoliopsida, Brassicales, Brassicaceae.
UUUCAGGUGGCGAAAGAGAAAAAAAAAAAAAAAAAANGAGAGAAGAGUUAGGGUUUGAUUUGAUUGAGUUACGGCGGCGACUAACUAGGUUAGGGUAUUGAACAAAUCAGAGUCUUUUUGACAGUCCCCCGUUCGACUCAUUCAACACGGUCCUCCUAAAGGUUGUAUUGGAAUGUUUCGACUCAUUCAACACGGUCUUCGUCCCCGAGCUUCAAGUUCUUCGCCCCACCACACACAACAGAAAUUAGGGGAGGAGUAAAAGAUGCACACUAUAUGCAGGACGCAGCAACAACAACGAUGGAAUGUAAAAUUUUUAUAUCCUUUUUUUCUUAAUCUCUGUUAACUUGUGUGUGUGGUAAAAUUAAUCUCAGAACCGUGGACAAGACCACUCAUUAUGCCCUCCUGUAAGUAUAAUUCCCGAUACUUAAAUUUGCUUCUGGAAAUUUAUCAUAGAGCGGUGGAUUCGAGGAGGCUGCUAGCAGCAUAUCAAACUCAGUGGCCAAGGUUGUACAUGAUGAGCUAGUGAAGUUGUGAUGGCUGCUCGAGAAGUAUCUGAGCUACGCUUUGGUAAACCAGGUCUUAAAGCCCUAGAAGACCUUUUCCUAAACAAUUAGACUUGGUGAUAUUAUGUUUUCACGGAUGUUUGAUGAGAUUCAUGCCUUGAAGCAAUUUAAAGUUGCCGCUGAUCUUUUGGCCAAGAAAGAUGAUUUACCUCCACUAUAUGAUAGUUGCUACAUUAAAAAUAAUCAGGUGCGUGUUGUGUUGGCCAUGGAAGAUACAUAACACAAGGAGCCAAGUGAAGGGCCCACAGCUGAUGUUUGUUCUGUUUACUGGUGGACUCAGGAAAGAAGCUGCUUGCAGAGCCAAACUCAAAGGCUAAGGCCCGUGAUUAGAGUUCCUUGUACUCAGAGCUGAAGUCAACGGUGCUCUUCUCCAUCGAGACAUGUAUGUAUGAAGCCAGAACUUAGGAGAGAUUGUGUCUGCUACAUGUCGUUUUUCACACCUUCUUGCUUCCUCUACCCGCAAUCCAGCUUCUAUCUUUCUCCUCCACGCUGAGACGAGAGCUAUGGAGUUUGGUGAAACCGAAGAGUGUUGUUGGCCAUGGAGGAUACAUAUAUCAGAUGGACCCAAGUGAAUAGCCCAGAUGUUUCUUCUGUUGACUGAAGUGUGGCUCAUCACUGCUAUGUUGCAGAUUGUACAUGAUGAUGAGCUUGAAAUUGUGAUGGCUAGUGGAUUCGAGGAAGGAGGCUGCGUGCAGAUAGUUAUAAUGCCUUGUAGGCACCGUGGAUCAUCCCAAAACUAGUUGGAGAUGUCACAUGUCCUCCAAAAGAUGGUCCACAACGUUGCAGCAGCUUCCUGCUCUUAUCAAGCUGCAUCUUUCGUGGCCAUUGUUGAUGAGUGGAAGUGGAAGUUAGGCGUUCUGUUGGCCAAUGAUAGCCAACAAGAAAUUGUUUCCAGAGACAAAAGGGAUCGAUGGGAUUAUGAGCAAAUUUCAAAUCUUGCCAAGAGAAUGGGACUGUACAGUGAGAUUUAUGGGAAGUGGUUGUCGCAAGCGAGGUUUCCUCUACCCAAUUACCGGCCAGAUUAGGAUGACAAUCGACCACAACGAGAGGUGGUACUUCCUUUGAGUUAGCAAAGAAGGGUUCCUGCAGAACACCUUGUGUUACUUUCUCUUAGAAGAAGUUGGUAUUUGAUAAUAUUUGAUCUCACUUCACUUCACUUCACUUCUUCUGAUACUUUGGCUCCCAUCAUCUUCUCCAUGGCAACAUUUGAAGAUCCUAACUUGAUUCUCCCUCACAGUGAUCAUUGUUUGAAUUGCUGCAGCAUGGCCAACUUGUUUUCGUAGCAGAUUGGAGCUCAAAAUCGGACGUGGAGUUAUUGAAUAUGAUGUAGCUUCUGGAAAGAUUAUCAUAGAACCGUGGACAACUCUUAUGCCCUGCCCUGAGGAUCAUCUCAAAACCAGUCAGUUGCAGUCCAAAAGAUGUGGAGUAAUUGAAUAUGAUGCAGCUUUAGGAAAGUUUAUCAUAGAACCGUGGAAAAAACUUAUGCCCUCACCUGUGGAUCAUCUCAAAACCAGUUGGAGAUGUUACGUUUGUCCUCCAAAAGGUCUCUGUGUGUCAAAUGUAAAUGGAAUUUUGGGUGGUGGUUUACUCACUGCCGGAUUAUAUUGUUGUAUUGUUACAGAAUGAGGGGGUGAUGCACACUAUAUGACGCAGCAACAACAACGAUGGAAUGGAAGAUUAAUAUCCUUUUUCUUAAUCUCUCGUGUGUAACGUUAUCACAGAACCGUGGACAAACACACCUAUCCCCUGCCUCCCUGUGGAUCAUCCCAAAAACCAGUUGGAAAUGUUACAUGUCCUCCAAAAGGUGAAACCUCUUUUGUCUCCACAGACAGAAAUCGGGGAUGAUGCACUAUAUGACGCAGCAACAACAACGAUGAAAUGGAAACUUAAUAUUCUUUUUCUUGAUCUCUCUCCAUUGGUUCCUACUAUAGCUUUCCAGGUCUCUGUGUGUCGAAAGUAGAUGGAAGUUUGGGUGCUGGUUUAUAUUUUGAUUGUAUUGUUACACGAGGCUUCCUUCAACAUU